Molecule: ribosomal RNA, 256 nt
Filed under: uncultured archaeon
Lineage: Archaea
Description: partial 16S ribosomal RNA
Rfam family: Bacterial small subunit ribosomal RNA
Source: RNAcentral
UAAUACGGAGGAUGCGAGCGUUAUCCGGAUUUAUUGGGUUUAAAGGGUGCGUAGGCGGACCUGUAAGUCAGUGGUGAAAGACUGUCGCUUAACGAUAGCAUUGCCAUUGAUACUGCAGAUCUUGAGUAUAAUUGAGGUAGGCGGAAUGUGUAGUGUAGCGGUGAAAUGCUUAGAUAUUACACAGAACACCGAUUGCGAAGGCAGCUUACUAAACUAUAACUGACGCUGAGGCACGAAAGCGUGGGGAUCAAACAGG